AGUGAACGCUGGCGGUAGGCCUAACACAUGCAAGUCGAACGGCAGCACAGUAAGAGCUUGCUCUUACGGGUGGCGAGUGGCGGACGGGUGAGGAAUACAUCGGAAUCUACUUUUUCGCGGGGGAUAACGUAGGGAAACUUACGCUAAUACCGCAUACGACCUACGGGUGAAAGCAGGGGAUCUUCAGACCUUGCGCGAUUGAAUGAGCCGAUGUCGGAUUAGCUAGUUGGCGGGGUAAAGGCCCACCAAGGCGACGAUCCGUAGCUGGUCUGAGAGGAUGAUCAGCCACACUGGAACUGAGACACGGUCCAGACUCCUACGGGAGGCAGCAGUGGGGAAUAUUGGACAAUGGGCGCAAGCCUGAUCCAGCCAUACCGCGUGGGUGAAGAAGGCCUUCGGGUUGUAAAGCCCUUUUGUUGGGAAAGAAAAGCAGCAGGUUAAUACCCCGCUGUUCUGACGGUACCCAAAGAAUAAGCACCGGCUAACUUCGUG
Molecule: ribosomal RNA, 492 nt
Filed under: uncultured bacterium
Lineage: Bacteria
Description: partial 16S ribosomal RNA
Rfam family: Bacterial small subunit ribosomal RNA
Source: RNAcentral